GUGCUCGCUUCAGCAGCACAUGUACUAAAAUUGGAACGAUACAGAGAAGAUUGGCAUGGUCCCUGCUCAAGGAUGACACACAAAUAUAUGAAGCAUUCCAUAUUUUU
RNAcentral lists this small nuclear RNA (107 nucleotides) under Octodon degus (degu). The record is from RNAcentral. Lineage: Eukaryota; Metazoa; Chordata; Mammalia; Rodentia; Octodontidae.